RNAcentral lists this ribosomal RNA (491 nucleotides) under uncultured bacterium. Its description in RNAcentral is "partial 16S ribosomal RNA". It matches the Rfam family "Bacterial small subunit ribosomal RNA", at positions 29 to 507 of the family's 1533-position model. The record is from RNAcentral.
GUGAACGCUGGCGGUAGGCCUAACACAUGCAAGUCGAACGGCAGCACAGUAAGAGCUUGCUCUUACGGGUGGCGAGUGGCGGACGGGUGAGGAAUACAUCGGAAUCUACUUUUUCGUGGGGGAUAACGUAGGGAAACUUACGCUAAUACCGCAUACGACCUACGGGUGAAAGCAGGGGAUCUUCGGACCUUGCGCGAUUGAAUGAGCCGAUGUCGGAUUAGCUAGUUGGCGGGGUAAAGGCCCACCAAGGCGACGAUCCGUAGCUGGUCUGAGAGGAUGAUCAGCCACACUGGAACUGAGACACGGUCCAGACUCCUACGGGAGGCAGCAGUGGGGAAUAUUGGACAAUGGGCGCAGGCCUGAUCCAGCCAUACCGCGUGGGUGAAGAAGGCCUUCGGGUUGUAAAGCCCUUUUGUUGGGAAAGAAAAGCAGCAGGUUAAUACCCCGCUGUUCUGACGGUACCCAAAGAAUAAGCACCGGCUAACUUCGUG